Long non-coding RNA from Rosa rugosa (rugosa rose), 732 nucleotides. RefSeq lists it as uncharacterized. The record is from RefSeq and is a predicted model, not a curated record. NCBI's taxonomy places the organism in Eukaryota, Viridiplantae, Streptophyta, Magnoliopsida, Rosales, Rosaceae. The transcript has 3 exons.
GAAGAUUAAUAAAGAACAAGUACGUUUUCUGCGAUGAAAUAAAAGAACAAGUACGUUUUUUGCGAUGAAUAAAGAACUAGUGUGUGUUGCUGGUUAGCUAGCUAAUGCAUUUAUAUAGUAACCUCAACCCGACUGUUUAAUUCACUCCUGAAUCAAUCGCAUGAUCAACCUAUCUCUUUCAAUUUUGGUGAGCCUUGCCUUCGGCGUGGAUGCUUUCCAUCUCAUGUCUCAACUACUCAACUCAUGUAAAUCUGCUGAGUGUGACAGCGCCAUUCACUCUUUCUCCCUUUUUGCCUACCUGUUCCUUUCUCUCUUCCUGCUUGGAGCGAAACAGCAGCAGCCUCUGUUUUUUCCGUUUCUUCUCUUCUACCGUGACUACCACCGGUGGAGCAAGAUUCUGAACAGAUCACAAAUAAGACAGUUGUUGCCCAAGGCUGGGUGAUUGAAGCAGAGGAUAUAUACGGUUCGUAUUUGUUUUUGUGCCUGUGAGGCAUAAGCUCCUCCACUGGUUGCUGCUUCGGAUUGUGAGAGAGAAUAAUUACUCUGCUUUGGGUGGUUUAGGGUUUAGAGUCAUCUCUCAAGGAAUGAGCUUUUCCUCUGUAAAGGGUCUGAUUCUCAAUUUCUAACAAUGUAAAUAAUUUGAAUAUGUAUGUAUUUUUGAAUGAACCCUGCAUUACAUGUAAGCAACCUUCAUUGCUAUUUCAGUGGAAUGAAGUCAUAAUUUAAUUUUUA